This 89-nucleotide ribosomal RNA is filed under the name Diplodia bulgarica. RNAcentral describes it as "partial 28S ribosomal RNA". The record is from RNAcentral. Lineage: Eukaryota; Fungi; Ascomycota; Dothideomycetes; Botryosphaeriales; Botryosphaeriaceae.
CGUCGCCCGCCGGACGAACCUUCUGAACCUUUCUCAAGGUUGACCUCGGAUCAGGUAGGGAUACCCGCUGAACUUAAGCAUAUCAAUAA